AUCUCCAUCCUUUUUUUUGUUGUGGUUGCCAUAGAAACCUACGUUAGAAGAUCCUUCCAUGACUCAUGUUUCCCAUGUUGUGGAGGUUAUGAUGCCGAAGGGAGCAAGUAUACAUGAAAGAAGUCGAGAAUAAUGAGAGCAGAACUAUAACUUGACGUACAAGAGGAAAAGAUGGUGGGAAUUAGGAAAAAAGAGAACACGGUUAAGAAGGUGACUUUAAAAACCGUGAAGGAGCAUUGUAUCAUGCCAAGAAG
Molecule: RNA transcript, 254 nt
Organism: Arabidopsis thaliana (thale cress)
Lineage: Eukaryota; Viridiplantae; Streptophyta; Magnoliopsida; Brassicales; Brassicaceae
Exons: 3
Source: RefSeq